ACUGGGAGAGGAGAAAUAGAAAACCAAAGGAAAGAUAAAGCACAUAAACAGAGACACUCACUUGUCAAAUGCUGAUUCAGGACUUAGGUUGCUCAUCUAUCAAAUGAAAGCAUUGAACAAAAGGAUACCUAAGGUCUCUUCUAGCUUGAAAUCCUAUGACUCUAAGCCUAAGACGAUAUGUUUCCUGGAGAUUCUAUACUACUUUAAAUUGACGAAGCAUUUUUAAAACGUCGAGAGAAAAAUGGAUCAAGAUCAGAAUUCCUACUUUGGAAGAAAAUGGGAAAAUUGGAACAUGUAAAUGACUUGCCUCAGUUAAUACCAAUGAUGUUAUUAAUAAUAGCAAUAAUAAGAAUGAAUAAAAAUCAGAAGAGUGAAGCCUGUAUUUGAAUU
Molecule: long non-coding RNA, 390 nt
Filed under: Monodelphis domestica (gray short-tailed opossum)
Lineage: Eukaryota; Metazoa; Chordata; Mammalia; Didelphimorphia; Didelphidae
Description: lncRNA (ENSMODG00000041536.1)
Source: RNAcentral